UCCCAACAGCCUCUCCAGCUGCAGGAGUCCUGCAUUUGGUCCUCACAACUGUUCUUGCUAAAUCCCAACAGGAGAAAAUGAGGCCAGCAGCUGUAGGAGUCAGAGGGCAGAGGAAAGCUGGCAAAGGCAGAGUGCAGCCACGCUGUGUCCUGGCAGUGAAAGCUGACUGCACAUCACGCAGGAUGUGAGAUUCAUUUGGCAAAGUGGGGCUCUCCUUGAGAUUCUGGGAGCCUCCCCACUCAGGCAGUGAGGGACACUGCCGCAGUGCCCGCCCUGAAGCUCCCUGGCUUCGCCUGCCCGGCCGAGGCACGGUCAGCAGCGGGGGACACUCCCGUGUCUCGAGGAGAGUCGGGGAGCGGCUAAGACAGAGCGCUUCGCUGUCUGCCGUGUACGGAGGAGAGGCGGCGUCCGAGGAGGAAGCACCCUGUGAGCAGAGGCUUUCUUCCAGCUGUUUCUCAGCAGGCUCAGCACCCCACCCCACCAGGCCCACAGUGGCAGUGUGUGCCAUGAAGCCUCUGGUGGGGACUGGAGGUGGGAGUGGGCAGGUGGCAAGGAUCCAAACUGGUCUGCACUGGACACUGUGCCUGCAAAGGUGAGGAAAGCUCAUAUCCUGCUGUGGGACCCCAAUUCCUCCUCUGCACCAACCUGGAGACCCAUCCCUGCCUGUGCCUCCCCCACCUCACCCCAGCCAUGCACUCUGCCCAGCCUGGCCCCUGUGUCCCUCUGUCCUGCCCAGCAGUACCAUAAUGGGACAGAUUCCAGCAAUUUUCCCUGCCAUGUCAUCACAACCUCUAUUUCUACCCAGUUUUUCUGUGGGAAGACAAAUCUGUUUGCAUGGAUUUUUUUACCCCUACAAUGUCCCCACUCCCCUGUGCUCUGCAUCUCUCAUUCCACCUCCAUCCUGCUCUGAGGCUGACACUGUCCCAAAUGCCAAAUCCACCUUGUCCGUGGUUGCAUCCCAGACUGAGCAAUGCCACUCAAACCAGCCUGGGGAGGAGAGGAGACCACAGCCCCCGUGUCUGACCAGAUGGGACCAUGUGUGACAGGUGUGAUCAGGUGUGACAGGUGUGACCAGGUGUGAUAGGUGUGACCAGGUGUGACCUCUGUGACCAGGUGGGACCAGGUGUGACCUGUGUGACCUGUGUGACCAGGUGUGGUCAGGUGUGACAGGUGUGACCAGGUGUGAUAGGUGUGACCAGGUGUGACCUGUGUGACCAGGUGGGACCAGGUGUGACAGGUGUGACAGGUAUGACCAUGUGUGACCAGGUGUGACCGGUGUGAGCAGGUGUGAUCUCUGUGACCAGGUGUGACCAGGUGUGACCAGGUGUGACCUGUGUGACCUGUGUGACCAGGUGUGGUCAGGUGUGACAGGUGAGACCAGGUUUGACCUGUGUGACCAGGAGUAACCAGGUAUGACCAGGUGUGACCAGAUGUGACCAUGUGUGACCAGGUGUGACAGGUGUGACCAGGUGUGACCUGUGUGAUCAGAUGGGACCAGGUGGGACCAGGUGGGACCAGGUGUGACCUGUGUGAUCAGAUGGGACCAGGUGUGACAGGUGUGACCUGUGUGACCUGGCACGUGGCACUGCUCACACCUCCUCACCUCCCAGCUGUGCCUGGCCUGGGGCAGCAGCUGAACUGCCACUGAGGUGCUCCCUGCACAUCCCCCCUGCCCUCCCACACCUGUGGCAUGUGCUCCCCCCGCCCGUGGCUGCAGGUGGCUGGCACGGAGAUUAAAUAUAGGCAGGCAGGAUGAAGGAACUGAGCCCAGAUUAACCGGGCAGGCCGUGGUCAGUUUACCUGCCCCCGCUCUGCAAGGCUCUGCUCAGGGGAGGAUAAUGCCCCAGUCCUUGUUAAAGCCAGGACUUGGAGAUGCCUCAGCCACUCAGGAUGUCCCCAGGGUGGGUCUGGGUUCUCCUUUUGUCUUCAGGUGCCACCUGGUCCCUGUGAGCAGCCAGUGCUGUGUGAGCCUUGAGGACAAAGUGCUUGUGGGGCUCUGGCUGAGCAUCCCUGCUCCUGUCUGGAGAGACUGGCCAAAGGAAGGGUGUCAAGCAGCCAGAGAAGACUCAGGGGAAGGCAGCAGUCAGCCUGCACCUCUGCCCUGAGCUUGUGCCUGCUGGUGAGAACAGGAGCUUUGCUGACAACAUAUCUUAGGGUCUGGGAAAGUCAAAAGGGCAGGAGAGACACAGGCUGGGGAGGUGCUUUCCUCUCCCAUAACAUCUGGGAUCAGACUCGAGUUGUGAUCACACCUACAUCUAGGGGUCAGGGUGAAUGUCUCCCAUCAGCCAGGAGGUUCUGGGAGAGCCAGGAGCCAGGAGGUUCUCCCGUCAGCCAGGAGGUUCUGAUUAAUUCAGAGCCAGCAGAGAUAUAAGAGAAGGUCAGUUCACCCUGAAGUUGGCAUCUCCAGCUUCCCCUAAACUCCCUUGACUGAUGGAGGCACAUCAGUGUCUAAAUAUCAGAUUUAACCCUGUUCUUAACAGGCUCCAAGGGGUGAGUUGACUCCACCACGGUUUGCAACAGGACCCUCGGGUGGUGUGGUUCUCCCUCAGGGGGAUGAAUCUCAAACCAGUGCUCUCAGGGGAUGUCUGGAUCCAAUCAGAUGCUGAAUCAGUUUAAUCCUUCGUGCAGCAGAGCUGGCAGUCAGGUGUGGUGUAACUAGCACAACAUGCCCUUUUUCUUCCUCACAGCAUCUUCCCUAAUAUUUUGACAGGGCCUUUAGCAGGCCUGUCUGGAGGAUUAAUAAACCUUUCUCUGUAAUCAGCA
Long non-coding RNA from Vidua chalybeata, 2763 nucleotides. RefSeq lists it as uncharacterized. Lineage: Eukaryota; Metazoa; Chordata; Aves; Passeriformes; Viduidae. The record is from RefSeq and is a predicted model, not a curated record. The transcript is spliced from 2 exons.